Molecule: small RNA, 107 nt
Filed under: Marmota monax (woodchuck)
Lineage: Eukaryota; Metazoa; Chordata; Mammalia; Rodentia; Sciuridae
Source: RNAcentral
GCCAGGUAUGGUGGUGCACUCCUGUAAUCCCAGCAACUCGGGAGGCUGAGGUAAGAGGAUCACAAGUUUGAGGCCAGUCUGGGGAAUUUAGCAUGAACUUGUCUCAA